GGAGUGAGCUUUUCAGUGAGGGUGUCUGCAGCUUCCUUGAGUCACCAGGUACCUGAAAGCAACCCCUGGUUAACAAAACAAAAACCAAUGAACAAAGCACUAGGUGUGGUAGCCCAUGCACUUAAUUCUAGUGUUCCUGAAGUAGAGCCAAGUAGAUCUUGCAGAGCUCUAGGCCAUCCUUGUCUCCAUAGAGAUUCCAAGCCAGGAAUGUAAGGAGUCCAGGUGUAAAACUCCAGGGAGCCAUAGAUUACCGGGGACCCCCUGAGUGAACCACAUGGAGCCAGGAUCAAUGCAAAAAGCAAGAGGAAUUUCUUGUUCCAGUGCACUGGGGUGAUGUUGGAGCCCUGGAGGAUUGUUAAAGCUCUAAGGGGAGAAGUUACCCAAUGCGUCUAUAGAAUAUCUGAGGGGAGAGGUAUCCUGGCUGUAGGAGCCAAGAAAUACCACUAAGUCACACCCCACCACAAACCUGACACAAAAUAUUUUAUUGGGAGAGACACAAGAGGGUGGCUGCCUCUGCUUGGGCAAAAGGCAGUAGGAAACCAAGAAGACGGGUUUAUAUAGAGUUGAGUUUGUGUACACACACAGAGCUUUCCUGGGUGGGUAUUGGUGGGAUUUCAUGUCCUUAGCUUUUGGGAUGCCCAGGGAUUGAGGUUUGUUGUUGUCUUUUUUUUUUUUUUUUUUUUUAAGCUCAAUGGUGACUUUUCAAAACCAGGAAGCAAGCUUGGAUUUUAUACCCCGUAGGAGAACACUGAAACUACCUGUAAUAGAAGAGUUAAUUUAUUGCUUCUUAAACUAUCAGGAGCUUGGGUUCUGAGAGAGGAUAAACCCUGAAGACCUCUGAGGAGGAAAUACUUCCACUGCUGUGUGUAUCUCUGAGAUAUCCCCAUUAGUCCACUUCUGGAUGAGCUGGAGGGCUUGGGAGGCUGGAGUCAGACCGGCGGCACUACUGUAACAAUGAUAAAGCCAGGACAGUCGGAGGCGGCUCUGCUUUUCCAGAACACAUGGCAGCUCACAACGUAACUCCAAUGUCCAGUUCCAGAGACUCCACCACCCUCUUCUGGUCUCUACAGACUCUGCACACACAUACUACACAUACUGUACAUGCAAGCAAGCAAAACACGCGUACACAUGAAAAUAAAAUGUAAAUAACAUAAAACUUUUUUUCUUUGGGUGGGAGGCAAAAUAGGGCCUCAUGUAGCCUAGGCGAGCCUGGGACUUGCUAUGUAGCUGAAGAUGACCUCAAGCUACUGAUUGUCCUGUCAAGGUCUGGGAUUUCAACUGUGUGGGACCACACCUGGAUUGUCUUUUUUUGUUUGUUUGUUUUUUUCCUUUAGUAUUUUGAAUUUUAAUACAGCAGCCAUUUACUUC
This 1368-nucleotide long non-coding RNA is filed under the name Mus musculus (house mouse). RNAcentral describes it as "long non-coding RNA chr16:32303126-32304494". Lineage: Eukaryota; Metazoa; Chordata; Mammalia; Rodentia; Muridae. The record is from RNAcentral.